GAUGAACGCUAGCGGCAGGCCUAACACAUGCAAGUCGAGGGGUAGCAGGAUUAAGCUUGCUUAAUUGCUGACGACCGGCGCACGGGUGCGUAACGCGUAUGCAACCUACCUUAUACUGGGGUAUAGCCCGGAGAAAUUCGGAUUAAUCCCCCAUAGUACUAAUGAAUCGCAUGGUUUAUUAGUUAAAGCAUUGCGGUAUAAGAUGGGCAUGCGUCCUAUUAGCUAGAUGGUGAGGUAACGGCUCACCAUGGCUACGAUAGGUAGGGGGCCUGAGAGGGCGGUCCCCCGCACUGGUACUGAGACACGGACCAGACUCCUACGGGAGGCAGCAGUGAGGAAUAUUGGUCAAUGGGCGCAAGCCUGAACCAGCCAUGCCGCGUGCAGGAAGAAUGCCCUAUGGGUUGUAAACUGCUUUUAUUUGGGAAUAAACCUCUUUACGUGUAGAGAGCUGAAGGUACCAAAUGAAUAAGCACCGGCUAACUCCGUGCCAGCCGCCGCGGUAA
Molecule: ribosomal RNA, 503 nt
Filed under: uncultured bacterium
Lineage: Bacteria
Description: partial 16S ribosomal RNA
Rfam family: Bacterial small subunit ribosomal RNA
Source: RNAcentral